This 468-nucleotide ribosomal RNA is filed under the name uncultured bacterium. Its description in RNAcentral is "partial 16S ribosomal RNA". It matches the Rfam family "Bacterial small subunit ribosomal RNA", at positions 28 to 507 of the family's 1533-position model. The record is from RNAcentral.
GACGAACGCUGGCGGCGUGCUUAAUACAUGCAAGUCGAACGGACAGGCCCUGCUCUUGUGGGGUUCUCGAUAGGCGAACGGGGGUGUAACACGUGUGUAACCUGUCCCUGUAUUUGGGAUAAAAUUAGGAAACAGGGGCUAAUACCGGAUAGGAGCUACUGAUGCAUGGUGGGGGAUGGAAAGUUUCGGCGGUUGGGGAUGGACUCGCGGCUUAUCAGCUUGUUGGUGGGGUAGUGGCUUACCAAGGUUUUGACGGGUAGCCGGCCUGAGAGGGUGACCGGCCACAUUGGGACUGAGAUACGGCCCAGACUCCUACGGGAGGCAGCAGUGGGGAAUAUUGCACAAUGGGCGGAAGCCUGAUGCAGCAACGCCGCGUGCGGGAUGACGGCCUUCGGGUUGUAAACCGCUUUCGCCUGUGACGAAGCGUGAGUGACGGUAAUGGGUAAAGAAGCACCGGCUAACUACGUG